RNAcentral lists this ribosomal RNA (1526 nucleotides) under metagenome. Its description in RNAcentral is "bacterial SSU rRNA". It matches the Rfam family "Bacterial small subunit ribosomal RNA". The record is from RNAcentral.
AGAGUUUGAUCCUGGCUCAGAACGAACGCUGGCGGCGUGGAUUAGGCAUGCAAGUCGAACGAUAUCUGGCGUUAUAGCAAUAUAGCGUCAGUGACAGUGGCGGAAGGGUGAGUAACGCGUGGGUAAUCUACCUUCAAGUUGGGGAUAACCUGCCGAAAGGCGGAUUAAUACCGAAUGUGGUCUCCUCGCGCAUGCGAGGAUGUCUAAAGGCGGGGACCGCAAGGCCUGUUGCUUGGAGAUGAGCCCACGUCCUAUCAGCUUGUUGGUGAGGUAACGGCUCACCAAGGCUUACGGGUAGCUGGUCUGAGAGGAUGGUCAGCCACACUGGGACUGAGACACUGCCCAGACUCCUACGGGAGGCUGCAGUCGAGAAUCUUUCGCAAUGCGCGAAAGCGUGACGGAGCGACGCCGCGUGCAGGACGAAGGUCUUCGGAUUGUAAACUGCUGUCGUGAGGGAGCAAUGAGCGGGGCGUUAAUACCGCCUCGAAGUGAUAGUACCUCAGGAGGAAGCCACGGCUAACUCUGUGCCAGCAGCCGCGGUAAUACAGAGGCGGCGAGCGUUGUUCGGAUUUACUGGGCGUAAAGGGUGCGUAGGCGGUUAUGUGUGUCGAACGUGAAAUCUCACAGCUUAACUGUGGAAUGGCGUUCGAAACUACAUUUCUUGAGUUCAGGAGAGGAGAGCGGAAUUCUCGGUGUAGCGGUGAAAUGCGUAGAUAUCGAGAGGAACACCGGUGGCGAAGGCGGCUCUCUGGACUGAUACUGACGCUGAGGCACGAAAGCUAGGGGAGCAAACAGGAUUAGAUACCCUGGUAGUCCUAGCCUUAAACGGUGUACACUUGGUGUGGGGGGAAUUGUCCCCCUCCGUGCCGGAGCUAACGUGUUAAGUGUACCGCCUGGGGAGUACGGUCGCAAGAUUAAAACUCAAAGGAAUUGACGGGGGCCCGCACAAGCGGUGGAGCAUGUGGCUUAAUUCGAUGCAACGCGAAGAACCUUACCUGGGCUUGACAUGCGGAGUUUAGUCCCUGAAAGGGGAUGGCCGCAAGGCGAUCCGCACAGGUGCUGCAUGGCUGUCGUCAGCUCGUGCCGUGAGGUGUUAGGUUAAGUCCUGCAACGAGCGCAACCCCUGUGUCUAGUUGCUAAUUUUAAUGUAAAUUGGAAUGCACUCUAGUCAGACUGCCUGUGAAAAGCAGGAGGAAGGUGGGGAUGACGUCAAGUCAGUAUGGUCCUUAUGCCCAGGGCUGCACACGUGCUACAAUGAACGGCACAGUAGGACGCUAAACCGCGAGGUGGAGCAAAUCCGCAAAAACCGUUCGCAGUUCAGAUUGAAGGCUGCAACUCGCCUUCAUGAAGCCGGAAUCGCUAGUAAUGGCGCAUCAGCUACGGCGCCGUGAAUACGUUCCCGGGCCUUGUACACACCGCCCGUCACAUCAUGGGAGCCGAUUGCACCCGAAGUCGCCGCACCAAUCCGAAAGGAAGGAAGGCGCCUAAGGUGCGAUUGGUGACUGGGAUGAAGUCGGAACAAGGUA